This 214-nucleotide long non-coding RNA is filed under the name Elaeis guineensis (African oil palm). Its description in RNAcentral is "long non-coding RNA (EGUI_LNC063953)". Lineage: Eukaryota; Viridiplantae; Streptophyta; Magnoliopsida; Arecales; Arecaceae. The record is from RNAcentral.
UUGAUGAAUUAUAUCUUGAUUAGAUUGUUAAUUAAUUUGAGUUGACCCUUGUCAUUAAGGUUGAUCAGUGUGACUGAUCUAGGUGCUUGUUUGAUCGGCAUGACCCUAAUUCGAUUAAGUGACUUGGUGAAGUGAGUGAAAGGAUUGUGGUUUACUGAUUGAUCUUUUAUUCUCUCUUCUCUAAAUUAAUUAAAUCUUCUAAAUUAUUAGAUCU